GCUCGUAUAGCUCAGUUGGUUAGAGCUUCGUACUAAUAAUGCGGAGGUCGCAGGUUCAAGCCCUGCUAUGAGCA
This 74-nucleotide transfer RNA is filed under the name Trichoderma hamatum GD12. RNAcentral describes it as "tRNA-Ile (AAT) (tRNA-Ile-AAT-1-1)". It matches the Rfam family "tRNA". From Rfam's summary of the family: Transfer RNA (tRNA) molecules are approximately 80 nucleotides in length. Their secondary structure includes four short double-helical elements and three loops (D, anti-codon, and T loops). The record is from RNAcentral. Lineage: Eukaryota; Fungi; Ascomycota; Sordariomycetes; Hypocreales; Hypocreaceae.